This 253-nucleotide ribosomal RNA is filed under the name uncultured bacterium. Its description in RNAcentral is "partial 16S ribosomal RNA". It matches the Rfam family "Bacterial small subunit ribosomal RNA", at positions 524 to 776 of the family's 1533-position model. The record is from RNAcentral.
UACGGAGGGUGCGAGCGUUGUCCGGAAUCACCGGGCGUAAAGGGCGCGUAGGCGGCGCGGGUAGUCAUCGGUGAAAGUUCAGGGCUCAACUCUGAAUCGGCCGGUGAUACUCCCGUGCUCGAGCACUGUAGAGGCAGGUGGAAUUCCCGGUGUAGCGGUGAAAUGCGCAGAUAUCGGGAGGAACACCUAUGGCGAAGGCAGCUCGCUGGGACGUUACUGACGCUGAGACGCGAAAGCGUGGGGAGCGAACAGG